This 393-nucleotide ribosomal RNA is filed under the name uncultured bacterium. Its description in RNAcentral is "partial 16S ribosomal RNA". It matches the Rfam family "Bacterial small subunit ribosomal RNA", at positions 523 to 918 of the family's 1533-position model. The record is from RNAcentral.
AUACGGAGGAUGCAAGCGUUAUCCGGAUUUAUUGGGUUUAAAGGGUGCGUAGGCGGUUUGCUAAGCGGGAGGUGAAAUGCCGGCGCUCAACGUCGGAAGUGCCUCCCGAACUGGUGGACUGGCAUGACUCUGCCGUGGGAGGAAUGUGUAGUGUAGCGGUGAAAUGCGUAGAGGGUGCACAGAACACCGAUUGCGAAGGCAUCUCACGAAGUGUUGAUUGACGCUGAGGCACGAAAGCGUGGGGAACAAACAGUAUUAGAUGCCCUUGUAGGCGUGGCAGUGAACGAUGAUGGCUAGCCGCGGGGCUUAUCAGUUCAGUGGCCAAGCGAAAGCGAUAAGCCAUCCACCUGGGGAGUACGACCUCAAGGUGGAAACUCAAAUGAAUUGACGGGG